This 722-nucleotide ribosomal RNA is filed under the name uncultured Methanocellaceae archaeon. RNAcentral's name for it is "bacterial SSU rRNA". It matches the Rfam family "Archaeal small subunit ribosomal RNA", at positions 85 to 808 of the family's 1478-position model. The record is from RNAcentral. Lineage: Archaea; Methanobacteriati; Methanobacteriota; Methanomicrobia; Methanocellales; Methanocellaceae.
ACUGCUCAGUAACACGUGGACAACCUGCCCAAAGGUCCGGGAUAACCCCGGGAAACUGGGGAUAAUACUGGAUAAAUCACAAGUACUGGAAGGUUUUGUGGUUGAAACUUCCGGGGCCUUUGGAUGGGUCUGCGGCGGAUUAGGUUGUUGCCGGUGUAACGUACCGUCAAGCCUGUAAUCCGUACGGGUUGUGGGAGCAAGAGCCCGGAGAUGGAUUCUGAGACACGAAUCCAGGCCCUACGGGGCGCAGCAGGCGCGAAAACUCUACAAUGCAGGCAACUGCGAUAGGGGAACAUCGAGUGAUACUCAUCUUGGGUGUCUGUCCUCCCGUCUAAAAAACGGGAGUUAGCAAGGGCCGGGCAAGACCGGUGCCAGCCGCCGCGGUAAUACCGGCGGCUCGAGUGGUGGCCGAUAUUAUUGAGUCUAAAGGGUCCGUAGCCGGCUUUGCAAGUCUUUUGGGAAAUCCAGCGGCUUAACCGUUGGUCGUCCGGGAGAUACUACAUUGCUUGGGACUGGGAGAGGUAGGAGGUACUCAGGGGGUAGGAGUGAAAUCCUGUAAUCCUUUGGGGACCACCGGUGGCGAAGGCGUCCUACCAGAACAGGUCCGACGGUGAGGGACGAAAGCUAGGGGCACGAACCGGAUUAGAUACCCGGGUAGUCCUAGCCGUAAACGAUGCUCGCUAGGUGUCACAACAAUCGUGAAUUGUUGUGGUGCCGUAGGA